CCCCCUUUGUGCUGGGGGAGCUGCUUGGAGAGGGAAGGGGCUGCAGAGGGUGGGCAUGAGAGGAGCAUGGAGGGAAUCUCUUAAGGGGCAGGGAGGAAACCUCCUGAGGGGCAUGGUGUGGGGCAGGAGUUGCUGCCCCGCUUGGCCAAGGCACGUGUGGCUUCAGCAGCAUGCCCUAUUGGAGGGAAGGCAGGUGCAGAGGUUUCUGAGAAGAGAGCCAGAAAUCAAAACUGGAUCCUGUCACCCCUGAUCAACUCCUGAUGGAAAGUCAAGAAAAGGAAAUGAACUUCAAGAAAGUGGACCAAAAUUCUCUUCCCAGUCACAUUUCCUGGAAGAGAAGAACGAGCAGUAUGUA
Molecule: long non-coding RNA, 355 nt
Organism: Oxyura jamaicensis (ruddy duck)
Lineage: Eukaryota; Metazoa; Chordata; Aves; Anseriformes; Anatidae
Exons: 3
Source: RefSeq, a predicted model, not a curated record